AGCAGCCGCGGUAAUUCCAGCUCCAAUAGCGUAUAUUAAAGUUGUUGCAGUUAAAAAGCUCGUAGUUGAAUUUCGGGAUCGAAUUGUUGGUCGUGCUUCGGUACGCACUGGCAUUAUCGGUUUCUACCUUCUGAAGAACCGCGAUGUCAUUAAUUUGGUGUCGUGGGGAAUCAGGACUGUUACUUUGAAAAAAUUAGAGUGUUUAAAGCAGGCUUACGCUUGAAUACAUUAGCAUGGAAUAAUGAAAUAGGACGUUUGAUUCUAUUUUGUUGGUUUCUAGGAUCGACGUAAUGAUUAAUAGGGAUAGUUGGGGGCAUUAGUAUUCAAUUGUCAGAGGUGAAAUUCUUGGAUUUAUUGAAGACUAACUACUGCGAAAGCAUUUGCCAAGGAUGUUUUCAUUAAUCAAGAACGAAAGUUAGGGGAUCGAAGACGAUCAGAUACCGUCGUAGUCUUAACCAUAAACUAUGCCGACUAGGGAUCGGAUGAUGUUAAUUUUUUAAUGACUC
Molecule: ribosomal RNA, 506 nt
Filed under: uncultured Glomeromycotina
Lineage: Eukaryota; Fungi; Glomeromycota
Description: SSU rRNA
Rfam family: Eukaryotic small subunit ribosomal RNA
Source: RNAcentral